CAGCACAAUGCCGGUGGCACUGCAACCACUGCAGGGACACUGCAUCUGCCUUCAUGCGCACUGCAUCAUCCAUCACAACAUACUGCAUACACCUUUAGGCACACUGCAUCCACUGCAUGGCCACUGCAUUCAUCUUCAGUGACACAGAAGGUGGCACUGCAACCCCUGCAGGGACACUGCUUCCAGCUGAUGUGGAAAUGCAGGUGCACUGCAAUCACUGCAGGAUCACUGCAUCCACUGCAUGUUCAGAGCAUGCACAUUCAGGGACACAGCAGCGUGCACUGCAACCACUGCCAGAUCACUGCAUCCAACUCGUGGGCACUGCAUCCUCUGUCACAACAUACAACAUCCACCUUGUGGGACACUGCAAGUACAGCAUGGUCACUGUAUCCACAUUCAGGGAACUGAUGGGGGCACUGCAACCACUGCAGCAUGACUGCAUCCACCUUCAUGGGCCCUGCAUCCUCCAUCACAACAAACUGCAUCCACAUUGUGGGACACUGCAUCCACUGCAUGACUACUGCAUCCACAUUCCUGGACAAUGUGGGGGGCACUAAAAGCACUGCAGCGACACUGCAGCCAGAUGAAGUGGCACUGCAAGUUCACUGCCAUGACUGCGGGAUCACUGCAUCCUCCAUCAUGAUCAGUGAAUCAUCCAUCACAACAUAAGGCAUCCACCUUGAGGGACACUGCAUCCACUGAAUGAGUACUGCAUCCACAUUCAGGUAAGCUGCAGGGGACACUGCAACCAAUGCCGGUUCACUGCCUCCACCUUCAUGGGCACUUCAUCCUAUGUCACAACAUACUGCUUUCACAUUGUGGGACACUGCAUCCAAUGCAUGGGGACUGCAUCCACGUUCAGGAACACUGCAGUUGGCUCUGCAACCACUGCAACAACAAUGCAUCCAGCUUAAGUAGCACUGCAGGUGCCCUGCAAUCACUGCAAGCUCAUGGCAUCCUACAUGGUGGGCACUUCAUCCUCGGUCACAACAUACUGCAUCCACCUUGUGGGGCACUGCAUGCACUGCAUGGGCAAUCUACCCACAUUCAGGGAAACGGUAGGGGGCACUGCAACCACUGCAGGUUCACCGCAUCCACCUUCAUGGGUACUGCAUCAUCUGACAAAGCAUAUUGCAUCCGCCUUGUGAUACACUGCAUCCACUGCAUGACCCCUGCAUCCACAUUCCAGCACAAUGCAACCACUGCAGAGACACUGCAUCCGCGUUCAUGCGCACUGCAUGCUGCAUCACAACAUACUGCAUAAACCUUUAGGUACACUGCCUCCACAGCAUGGGAACUGAAUUCACCUGCAGGGACUCAGAUGGCAGCACUGCAACUGCUGCAGCAACACUGCUGCCAGCUGAUUAGGAAAUGUAGGCACACUGCAAUCACUUCAGGAUCACUGCCUCCACUGCAUGUUCACAACAUCCACAUUCUGGGACCCAGCAGGGUGCACUGUAACCACUGCCAGAUCACUGCAUCCACCAUCAUGGGCACUGCAUCCUCCAUCACAACCUACUGCAUGCACCUUGUGGGAAACUGCAUCCAUUGCCUGGGUACUGCAUCCAUGAUCUCGGACCAUGCAG
RNAcentral lists this long non-coding RNA (1586 nucleotides) under Equus caballus (horse). RNAcentral describes it as "lncRNA (ENSECAG00000053720.1)". The record is from RNAcentral. Lineage: Eukaryota; Metazoa; Chordata; Mammalia; Perissodactyla; Equidae.